This 641-nucleotide long non-coding RNA is filed under the name Eucalyptus grandis. RNAcentral describes it as "long non-coding RNA (EGRA_LNC005816)". Lineage: Eukaryota; Viridiplantae; Streptophyta; Magnoliopsida; Myrtales; Myrtaceae. The record is from RNAcentral.
ACAAGUUUAUUUACAACAUCAGGUCGCUUACAAAAAUAUUGGCUUAAUCAAAAAGGGAUUGUCCUAUGAUUAGUGAGUCAAACAUGUUUGCCAAUUCUGUUUUCUACACUUCCUCAAACUCCAGGACUUUUGGUCCUCCACCAACAUCAUUUAGGGACCUGAAAAUGGUUAUACAAUAACCAGUGGGACAAUAUCUCAGCAAGUUCUACUUCCUAAGACCCAAUUAGGAAGAAAAUAUGCCUUAGGGCUGUCUAAGCAUAAUCACGAGUUAGAGGGCUUACCUUGGUCUCAGUUCCUUCUUGCAAGUCAGUUCAAUGUGAAAAUACUGACAACCAUGUCAUCCAAUCAAUUAGAUCGAUUCAUUGAUCAAUCGACUCAGUCAAUACAUGCUAACAAGACCACUUCCGGUCAUUUCAACUAUUCCAACUCAAUUCCCAAUUAUGAAUCACGGUCCUUAGGACACAACUUAUUUAUAGGUGGUAAUCACGGCCUCACCGAGCAAUUUUCUUAGAUUUAGUGGCAUCAUGGCCACACUCGGCAACUUCCAAUAUUUAGUGGCAUCACGGCCCCACUCGGCAAAUUUCUUAUAAUUGGUCAGAUUUAGUGGUAUCACGGCCCCACUCGGCAAUUAGAAUUAUACC